Molecule: unclassified non-coding RNA, 253 nt
Filed under: uncultured Idiomarinaceae bacterium
Lineage: Bacteria; Pseudomonadati; Pseudomonadota; Gammaproteobacteria; Alteromonadales; Idiomarinaceae
Description: contains 16S-23S intergenic spacer region
Rfam family: Bacterial small subunit ribosomal RNA
Source: RNAcentral
UACGGAGGGUGCGAGCGUUAAUCGGAAUUACUGGGCGUAAAGGGCUCGUAGGCGGUUUGUUAAGCAAGAUGUGAAAGCCCAGGGCUCAACCUUGGAAUUGCAUUUUGAACUGGCAAGCUAGAGUUUUGAAGAGGGUGGUAGAAUUUCCAGUGUAGCGGUGAAAUGCGUAGAUAUUGGAAGGAAUACCAGAGGCGAAGGCGGCCACCUGGUCAAAAACUGACGCUGAGGAGCGAAAGCUAGGGUAGCAAACAGG